RNAcentral lists this ribosomal RNA (774 nucleotides) under human gut metagenome. Its description in RNAcentral is "bacterial SSU rRNA". It matches the Rfam family "Bacterial small subunit ribosomal RNA", at positions 8 to 810 of the family's 1533-position model. The record is from RNAcentral.
AGAGUUUGAUCCUGGCUCAGAACGAACGCUGGCGGCAGGCUUAACACAUGCAAGUUGAACGGGAUUUGUAUGGUGCUUGCACCAUGUAAUGAGAGUAGCGCACUGGUGAGUAACACGUGGGAACAUACCUUGAAGUGGGGGACAACAGUUGGAAACGACUGCUAAUACCGCAUAAUCCCUGAGGGGGAAAGAUUUAUCGCUUUAAGAUUGGCCCGCGGAAGAUUAGGUAGUUGGUGGGGUAAAGGCCUACCAAGCCGACGAUCUAUAGCUGGUCUGAGAGGACGAACAGCCACAUUGGAACUGAGACACGGUCCAGACUCCUACGGGAGGCAGCAGUGAGGAAUAUUGGGCAAUGGAGGAAACUCUGACCCAGCCAUGCCGCGUGAGUGAAGAAGGUUUUCGAAUUGUAAAGCUCUUUCGGAUGGGACGAUGAUGACGGUACCAUCUAAAGAAGCCCCGGCAAACUUCGUGCCAGCAGCCGCGGUAAUACGAAGGGGGCAAGCGUUGUUCGGAAUUACUGGGCGUAAAGGGUGUGUAGGCGGAUUUGUAAGAUAGUGGUGAAAUACCUGAGCUCAACUUAGGAAUUGCCAUUAUAACUAUAGAUCUGGAGUGACAGAGAGGAUAUUGGAAUACCCAGUGUAGAGGUGAAAUUCGUAGAUAUUGGGUAGAACACCAGUGGCGAAGGCGAGUAUCUGGCUGUCAACUGACGCUGAGGCACGAAAGCAUGGGGAUCAAACAGGAUUAGAUACCCUGGUAGUCCAUGCUGUAAACGAU